Molecule: RNA transcript, 986 nt
Organism: Populus euphratica (Euphrates poplar)
Lineage: Eukaryota; Viridiplantae; Streptophyta; Magnoliopsida; Malpighiales; Salicaceae
Exons: 4
Source: RefSeq, a predicted model, not a curated record
AGUCCAUGAUUGGAAUCGGUGCUUCUCCUCCUGCUCCUCUCGUGCUUGUUCUUUGAUACGAACAAAUCCCUCUUUGAAAACUUGAAGUUCGAAGAUGUUGCUGGGAUAUGGAGGAGGCUAGGCCUCAAAGUUCUCUAGACUGGAUUCUCUUGGACUAUGGUUAUUUCGGUAACAUGCUGCAGUUCAUUUUUUGCUGGCCCUUGUGAACACCUGGGCUUUGGUUAUUUCUGUGCGUAAUGAAGAUGCUUUUUCAGAAGUAACAUGCUGAUGUUCAUUUUUGGACAUCAGAGGAAACAUUUUCAUUGAUGAAAAAGGAAGGAUAAACCUUCUUGACCAAAUAAAUAAAAUUGACAGCAGAAACGCACAAGACAAAAGUAGCUAUCUACCAAGUACAAAAUUGCAUCUAUGAAACAUAACACAAAUUGAAUGUCCUAAUUUCCACAACCUCAUUACCAAGAAGCAGCUGAUGGAUCCCUACAAUGUUGUUCUAAAUUUCAGUAGAAGCUCAGCAUCACUGUAUAGUCUGGAACUUUAGUGUGUUUUGAGGCUAAACUACACUAGACAGGCGUCUUUCUUGUCAACAAUGCAACAGCCACCUAAGUUAUUAAAAGAGGGCUCAACUUCAGCAGCCAAGAUGUAGCAAGAACUUUCAAACUCAGUCACAAAACCGAAAUCUGAACAGAAGAUCUGCUCUAGACAGGGGGAUAACGAAGCUUUCUAAUGCAGAUCUCUUGAAUUUUGCACUUGGUUGUGGUCAAGAUGUUGUCUUUGAUUUCAGUUCAGAUCCUAAGUUGAAGAGAUUUGUCAUUGGUGCAAACGAAAGACAGCUGCACUAUGUUUUCACUCUGUUGUCAAAACAUGUUCCCAGGAUGAGCAGUUUGACUGUCAAGACCAGGUUAUGUGCAUGCCAGAAAGAAUCACCAUCUUCAAAGAUGUUGCGAAGUUAAUAGCAACACAGAAUUUGAUAUCUUGAAGAUGAUUGCUAU